ACGAACGCUGGCGGCAGGCUUAACACAUGCAAGUCGAGCGCCCCGCAAGGGGAGCGGCAGACGGGUGAGUAACGCGUGGGAAUCUACCGAGCCCUACGGAAUAACGCAUGGAAACGUGUGCUAAUACCGUAUACGCCCUACGGGGGAAAGAUUUAUCGGGGUUUGAUGAGCCCGCGUUGGAUUAGCUAGUUGGUGGGGUAAAGGCCUACCAAGGCGACGAUCCAUAGCUGGUCUGAGAGGAUGAUCAGCCACAUUGGGACUGAGACACGGCCCAAACUCCUACGGGAGGCAGCAGUGGGGAAUAUUGGACAAUGGGGGAAACCCUGAUCCAGCCAUGCCGCGUGGGUGAUGAAGGCCUUCGGGUUGUAAAGCCCUUUUGGCGGGGACGAUAAUGACGGUACCCGCAGAAUAAGCCCCGGCUAACUUCGU
RNAcentral lists this ribosomal RNA (429 nucleotides) under uncultured bacterium. RNAcentral describes it as "bacterial SSU rRNA". It matches the Rfam family "Bacterial small subunit ribosomal RNA", at positions 29 to 506 of the family's 1533-position model. The record is from RNAcentral.